AGGGGAGGAAGUGUCAGAAAGAGAGGAAGAACAGCAGGAUGUAGCAACUGAAGAGGAGGCAGAGGAGACGGAUGAUGAAGAUGAGGAGCCAUUAGAAAAUGAUGCUUUACCAGAGGAUGAAUAGAGCCCGUCACCAAAAAGUAUUUUUUUUUUUUCCCAUGCCGGACACUUUCGCAGAAUAUUAUAUGACAACUACUGCAGGAAGGCGGACUUGAUUGCUGUUGUUUAGGUGCAGUAUUCAUUAUGCGGUUGCUCUUUGGACAGCAGACCUCAGUCAGAAGAAAUCGGUCACUGUGCUGGCUUCAAAGCUGAAACCUGUACCUCAAAAUAUGACACGGCUGUUAAGUUAGGAAAUUAAUAAUUCAGGGUUAACCUGCCAAUAACCACCUCCGAAGCCUUAAUCCAUAAAAGAACUCUUUCUCCAGAGCACCUUUCACUGUUCAUGACUCACACGUUGUUCAUGGUCAAGGUUAGGCUCUGUCCUAAACUGGAAAGCCAAUGACGUGAACUGUUUAUCAAUGCACUUGAAGCCAUAAGAAAUGUUACAAUGUUUCCUCUCACUGCCUGAAAUGUAUCGUCGGAGCAUAUUUUAAGAAGGGAAAAACUUAUUGUAUCCCAGUUGUUUACUCAGGCAACACAGCCACCUAAAAAGCAUCUUUUGACAAGAUGAACGAGAACAAUUCCUGAAUGUUUUUAAAGUAAGGGACUAAUUGUAGUUGAUAGAUUUUUGUUUUUUUUAAUUACUUUUUACAUUACUUAGAUUUAACACUUUUUACCUAAUUACAAUCGCACUCAGACCUACACACUUGCAGUAUUGUAAAAUGCAGUGGGUAAAUUCCUCUACCUGGAACUGCUUCAUCAUCAUUUUACUGCUUUUAAUACGUUUUUAGUUCAGACUUUACAUCAUUUACUAAUUUAACAAACAACAGCGACAUAUUCUACGCAUUAAAGUCGCUGCGAAACAGUUGUUUCUAACUUAAGAGGAGCCUCAGGGAUAAAUUACUCUCUAGAUGGGUGGAAAACUAUUACAGCAAAAUCUUUUCAUCCAAAACGACACCAAUUGGGCCAAUAUUGAUUGAUCAUAACGGUUUGAACUUUACCGUUGCAGUCAAACGGGAGCAGAAAUACACAGAACAAACUACUUUAUGCUGCAGUCAGACUUUUUAGCUUUUAGGUUGCAGAGGAGAGAUCUCCAGAUGGACACUGAGGCUAAAGAUGGAUCAGAACUAUGCCGGGAAUCUGAAAUGUGCAGGAGGAGCAAGGAGUACCGGUGUUCAUGUCACCAGAUAUUAACCCCACCCAACGUGUCGGUGAACAUUAGAAACUAAAAGGUUCAAAUCACAAUACUGUGUGGUGCUGAGAUGCUCCUAAAACAACUGGAAUAAUGUGAAAUCUUGACUAAUGCAGAAUAAAUAUGCAAGCUGCAAUCAGGGCAAAGAAUAAGAUCAGUUAUUAAUAAUGUAAAAUGUAUCUCUAUAAAAUGAGCUCUUUUUUUAAGACAUAAAUGAUGCCAUGUUUGGAGUCAGACUGUUUAGUGAUUCAGUUCUUUGUAGUACACUAGGACCUGGACCCCACUGGGCCCUUUGACUUUUACAAAACGCACUGCAUUCUCAUCUCACUUUGCCAUGACACUUUUUUUUAAAUAAACCCUUGUUUUACUUCUGUA
Molecule: long non-coding RNA, 1666 nt
Organism: Cyclopterus lumpus (lumpfish)
Lineage: Eukaryota; Metazoa; Chordata; Actinopteri; Perciformes; Cyclopteridae
Exons: 2
Source: RefSeq, a predicted model, not a curated record